GUGCUGGGAUUACAGGUGUAAGCCACUGUGCCCGGCUGUUAGGUGUAUUUCACCACAGUAAAAAACAAUAAAUUACAAAAAAUGGUGACAUGCCAGGGACAAUGCAGUGUGGCAACUCAUCUGGCCCUGUCUCCAGUGUACCCUGCUAUAGGAUGUCAGGCCCAGAAUCCCAGGAAGCAGGGGAGGAGAGGGAGGUACCUCUUCAUUUCAGGCCCAGGAUACAGCCCAGCUCUGCCGUGGCUGCGGACAGUGACAAUCUAUCUCUGCCUCCCAGGCCAGGAACAUGUUUUCACCGAGACCUACAAAGAGCAGUCACCGACCGUGCCCAGACACCUUGUGUAGAUCUGUGCUUAGCAAACUCAGAAGGCCCUGUCACCACCAGGAAGGAAGAGACCCCACGACUGAGGGCAGUGGGCUAUGAGAUUUGUGACCCUUUCCUCUGCCUGCCUCUGCCCCUGCCCAUUGGGACCCUGCUGGACCAGGCAUCCAUCCUAUGGAAAUCUCCAUGAAGCGUCGACCUCCCUGCCCCCCAGGCAUUGGACAGGGGCCAGGAAAUGGAAUGAAAGCAGCCACUGUCUGAAGAGCUGGAGACCAUCAUCUGCCUCUGGAAGCCCAG
RNAcentral lists this long non-coding RNA (616 nucleotides) under Homo sapiens (human). Its description in RNAcentral is "HSALNT0391069". The record is from RNAcentral. Lineage: Eukaryota; Metazoa; Chordata; Mammalia; Primates; Hominidae.